Molecule: ribosomal RNA, 442 nt
Filed under: uncultured bacterium
Lineage: Bacteria
Description: partial 16S ribosomal RNA
Rfam family: Bacterial small subunit ribosomal RNA
Source: RNAcentral
CCUACGGGAGGCAGCAGUAGGGAAUCUUUCACAAUGGGCGAAAGCCUGAUGGAGCAACGCCGCGUGCAGGAUGAAGGCCUUCGGGUUGUAAACUGCUUUUAUAAGCGAGAAAUAUGAUGGUAACUUAUGAAUAAGGAUCGGCUAACUACGUGCCAGCAGCCGCGGUCAUACGUAGGAUCCGAGCAUUAUCCGGAGUGACUGGGUGUAAAGAGUUGCGUAGGUGGCAUAAUAAGUAGCUAGUUAAAACUGGUGGCUCAACCAUUCAGACUAUUAGCUAAACUGUUAAGCUCGAGACCGUUAGGGGUAACUGGAAUUUCUAGUGUAGGAGUGAAAUCCGUAGAUAUUAGAAGGAACACCAAUAGCGUAGGCAGGUUGCUGGGACGGUUCUGACACUAAGGCACGAAAGCGUAGGGAGCAAACGGGAUUAGAUACCCUUGUAGUC